Molecule: ribosomal RNA, 254 nt
Filed under: uncultured bacterium
Lineage: Bacteria
Description: partial 16S ribosomal RNA
Rfam family: Bacterial small subunit ribosomal RNA
Source: RNAcentral
UACGAAGGGGGCUAGCGUUGCUCGGAAUCACUGGGCGUAAAGGGUGCGUAGGCGGGUCUUUUAAGUCAGAGGUGAAAUCCCAAGGCUCAACCUUGGAACUGCCUUUGAUACUGGGGAUCUUGAGUCCGGGAGAGGUGAGUGGAACUGCGAGUGUAGAGGUGAAAUUCGUAGAGAUUGGGUGGAACACCAGUGGCGAAGGCGCCUAUCUGGCUGACAACUGACGCUGAGACUCGAAAGCAUGGGGAGCAAACAGG